This 74-nucleotide transfer RNA is filed under the name Selenomonadaceae bacterium. RNAcentral describes it as "tRNA-Pro". It matches the Rfam family "tRNA". Rfam says of the family: Transfer RNA (tRNA) molecules are approximately 80 nucleotides in length. Their secondary structure includes four short double-helical elements and three loops (D, anti-codon, and T loops). Lineage: Bacteria; Bacillati; Bacillota; Negativicutes; Selenomonadales; Selenomonadaceae. The record is from RNAcentral.
CGGGAUGUAGCACAGUUUGGUAGCGCGCAUCGUUCGGGACGAUGAGGUCGCAGGUUCAAAUCCUGUCAUCCCGA